GUAGGUGGCAAGCGUUGUCGGGAAUUAUUGGGCGUAAAGCGCGCGCAGGCGGUCCUUUAAGUCUGAUGUGAAAGCCCACGGCUCAACCGUGGAGGGUCAUUGGAAACUGGGGGACUUGAGUACAGAAGAGGAAAGCGGAAUUCCAAGUGUAGCGGUGAAAUGCGUAGAGAUUUGGAGGAACACCAGUGGCGAAGGCGGCUUUCUGGUCUGUAACUGACGCUGAGGCGCGAAAGCGUGGGGAGCAAACAGGGAUUAGAUACCCUGGUAGUCCACGCCGUAAACGAUGAGUGCUAAGUGUUAGGGGGUUUCCCGCCCCUUAGUGCUGCAGCUAACGCAUUAAGCACUCCGCCUGGGGAGUACGGCCGCAAGGCUG
RNAcentral lists this ribosomal RNA (373 nucleotides) under uncultured organism. Its description in RNAcentral is "partial 16S ribosomal RNA". It matches the Rfam family "Bacterial small subunit ribosomal RNA", at positions 527 to 896 of the family's 1533-position model. The record is from RNAcentral.